CACUGAGGCUGCUCCCACUCUGGAACAUUGUCCAGCCCCCAGCUGAGACCUGCAAGUCUCCUGAGGUUUGGGUAUCUCUCCCCUGCCCAGCACUGGGGGAACAGUUUUUAACCUGCACUUUUGUUCCCUCUCGUGCCUCUGAUCAGCCCCUGCAGAAGACACAACUCCUGGAGCAGAAGUCACGACCGUGCCUACAACACCUGGAACCCCAGCGACAAGUUCACCUGCUGCAUCAGUCCCUUCAACUCCUGAAACAACCACUGCCACUAGUAAGUAAUGCAGUUUUACCCUGGUUUAUACCCUUAAUUCCCUACCAAAGCUGGAAUCUGGCAAGGCUCCCUGUCUCCACUGCAUGCAUCAUCUCACAAAAUUAAUGUUGAACCUUGGGGAUAAUUUUUUUGGCUUCCAUACAAAUCGAGGGACCUGAAUUGUUGGCAUUGAUACAGGAGGAAUACCUGUUCUGCUACAAGUUCUAAGGAACUGGAAUUCACU
This 492-nucleotide long non-coding RNA is filed under the name Lonchura striata (white-rumped munia). RNAcentral's name for it is "domestica (Bengalese finch) lncRNA (ENSLSDG00000010640.1)". Lineage: Eukaryota; Metazoa; Chordata; Aves; Passeriformes; Estrildidae. The record is from RNAcentral.